GUGUAACAACUCACCUGCCGAAUGAAUUAGCCCUGAAAAUGGAUGGCGCUGCAGCCUGUUACCGAUACUAGACCAUUAAAGCAAAUGUGAGGCUUUAAUGAGUAAGAGGGCGUGAACAUGGAUUAGAAGGCCAAUUUGUGAAGAUGGCUGGAUCAAUGUUUAGUGCAGAUCUUGGUGGUAGUAGC
RNAcentral lists this ribosomal RNA (185 nucleotides) under uncultured eukaryote. RNAcentral's name for it is "partial 28S ribosomal RNA". It matches the Rfam family "Eukaryotic large subunit ribosomal RNA", at positions 1280 to 1464 of the family's 3401-position model. The record is from RNAcentral.